RNAcentral lists this ribosomal RNA (450 nucleotides) under uncultured bacterium. RNAcentral describes it as "partial 16S ribosomal RNA". It matches the Rfam family "Bacterial small subunit ribosomal RNA", at positions 354 to 796 of the family's 1533-position model. The record is from RNAcentral.
GUCGAGAAUAAUUCACAAUGGACGAAAGUCUGAUGGUGCAACGCCGCGUGGAGGAUGACGGUCUUCGGAUUGUAAACUCCUGUCAUCCGGGAGUAAGACCUGGCUGUGAAUAGCAGACAGGGUUGAUAGUACCGGAAGAGGAAGGGACGGCUAACUUCGUGCCAGCAGCCGCGGUAAUACGAAGGUCCCGAGCGUUGUUCGGAAUCACUGGGCGUAAAGGGAGCGUAGGAGGCGUGGUAAGUCAGAUGUGAAAUCCCGGGGCUCAACCCCGGAACUGCAUCCGAUACUGCCGUGCUAGAGGAUUGGAGAGGUAGCUGGAAUUCUUGGUGUAGCAGUGAAAUGCGUGGAGAUCAAGAGGAACACUCGUGGCGAAAGCGAGCUACUGGACAAUAUCUGACGCUGAGGCUCGAAGGCCAGGGUAGCGAAAGGGAUUAGAUACCCUGGUAGUCC